UCCGCGUUGAUCGCGGCGGUCCCGCUAGAUCAUUCAACUAACGGCAAGGGUUGCGCUCGUUGCGGGACUGAACCCAACAUCUCACGACACGAGCUGACGACAGCCAUGCAGCACCUGUGCAACCGCCCUUGCGGGACACCCCAUAACGGGUGGUGCAGUUGCAUGUCAAACCCUGGUAAGGUUCUUCGCGUUGCAUCGAAUUAAACCACACGCUCCGCUGCUUGUGCGGGUCCCCGUCAAUUCCUUUGAGUUUUAAUCUUGCGACCGUACUCCCCAGGCGGACCACUUAUUGCGUAAGCUGCGGCACGGAAGGGGUCGAUCCCCCCCACGCCUAGUGGUCAUCGUUUACGGCUAGGACUAC
Molecule: unclassified non-coding RNA, 361 nt
Filed under: uncultured Ktedonobacteraceae bacterium
Lineage: Bacteria; Bacillati; Chloroflexota; Ktedonobacteria; Ktedonobacterales; Ktedonobacteraceae
Description: contains 16S-23S intergenic spacer region
Source: RNAcentral